AAAGAAAAGAGCAGAAAAAAGAAGAAGAAAGAAAAACACUUGAGCACUAAUCUUCUUUACAAUCUACCCAAAUUUAUCUCCGCUUAACCCCAUAUCACAAAAAUCUCCGGGAUAAUCUCAUUCCCUUUCUAUAAUUGCCUGCAGUAGAGUUCUUACAUUUGGGGAAUACAAACACAAAACACAAAACAUACCCAACAACAAGAAGGAGAGAUAGAGAGGUGUAGACAAAUUGCCCUUUGAGGGUUUGGCUUGCUUUCCUUUUUUUUUUUUGGCUCUAAGUUUCUACCACUUAGAUUACAUAUCUGAUUUCUGUCCGACCCUUUUUUCUUCACCCUCUUUAUCUCCUCCAAUCCAUACCUCUUAAUACAUACAUAACUACAUCAUCAUCAUAGUGUAUAAAUUUUUGUGUCUUGGAUAGUAUUAGAGCUAAAAACUGAAGCUUUGUUUGAAUGCAAAUUCUCUUAAUUUGGGUAAUACCUUUAAUGCCUAGUAUGGAAGUAAAAGGGUUUAUUACCGUAACACCCACAAAGCCAAAUCAGUAAGGUUUGUGAAAAACCUUAUAACUUUGCCCAUUAUCUUGCAUUUAAGAUUGGAGAUUUGGUUAUAUCUGGGUUUUGAUCUUUUUGGUAAUAGCUGAAUCUUGAAUUGUGCUGUGGUGUAAAUAUAUGUUGUUGGUUUGGUUUCUGCUUAGGGCAUAUUGAGGUUAACAAAGGGACAUCCUUUGCUGGUUUUGGGAUUUUAAAGGGUCUCAUAAUUCUUGGCUUUUUUGGAGUUUUGCCAAUCUUACUGUAUUUGAGCACCUGAGUAGUUGCUGGUGAAGCUACCACGUCUGGUUUUCCUAGGGUUUAUUGUGUGAAAAGCACUUGUUCAUCACUCACUUGUCGGUUUCUUAUGAUUAUUUGUUUCUCAGCAAGUGUUUGAAAGUUGCCCUUGUCUGCUUUUAUCAGUGGUGUAAGAACUCUGGUUUUGUGAAGUAAUUUGUGUG
RNAcentral lists this long non-coding RNA (985 nucleotides) under Nicotiana tabacum (common tobacco). RNAcentral describes it as "long non-coding RNA (NTAB_LNC013468)". The record is from RNAcentral. Lineage: Eukaryota; Viridiplantae; Streptophyta; Magnoliopsida; Solanales; Solanaceae.